UUGACCUCGGAUCAGGCAGGGAUACCCGCUGAACUUAAGCAUAUCAAUAAGCGGAGGAAAAGAAACCAACAGGGAUUGCCUCAGUAACGGCGAGUGAAGCGGCAACAGCUCAAAUUUGAAAUCUGGCUCUUUUAGGGUCCGAGUUGUAAUUUGUAGAGGAUGCUUCGGCGUCGGCUCCGGUCUAAGUUCCUUGGAACAGGACGUCAUAGAGGGUGAGAAUCCCGUAUGUGAUCGGUUGCCCUUGCCAUGUGAAGCUCCUUCGACGAGUCGAGUUGUUUGGGAAUGCAGCUCUAAAUGGGAGGUAAAUUUCUUCUAAAGCUAAAUACUGGCCAGAGACCGAUAGCGCACAAGUAGAGUGAUCGAAAGAUGAAAAGCACUUUGGAAAGAGAGUCAAAAAGUACGUGAAAUUGUUGGAAG
Molecule: ribosomal RNA, 417 nt
Filed under: uncultured Cenococcum
Lineage: Eukaryota; Fungi; Ascomycota; Dothideomycetes; Gloniales; Gloniaceae
Description: eukaryotic LSU rRNA
Rfam family: Eukaryotic large subunit ribosomal RNA
Source: RNAcentral